GAAUCGUGAAGCCCUGCUGUGAACCAAAAUGAGACAAAGAGGGGGAACGCAGAGAGGACUCCAGGUGGCAGGAGUGUGUGUGCACACACAUGUGCAGUCCUCCACAGAGGCUGAGGAGAGGCCAGUGGAUAGAUCUCCGAGAUGUGGAGUGAAAGGAAAAAUGACUCGGAAAGAGAAGGCCCUGGAAGUCCGAUCGUCAUCACACAGGCUUCCGCUGCCAGCCGAUGGGGCAGAUGCAGAGACCUACAACCAAACCUUAGGCGGAUAGAGGCCCCAAACUGAAGAUCUCCCUCAGGCUCCUCCUCUUGGGGCUCAGGGAACCCCCGCAGAAGAGGGGAAGGAAGGAUUGCAGGAGCCAGAGGGUUGAGGAUACCAGGAGAACAAGGCCCACAGAAUCAACUAAGCAGGGCUCGUAGCAGCUCACAGAGACUGAAGCAGCGAUCAUGGAGCCUGCAUGGGUCUGUGCUAGGUCCUCAGCAUAUAUGACAAUGGUUUUUAGCUAGGUGUUUUUGUGGGAUUCCUAGCAGUGGAUGUAGGAUUAUCUCAAUUCUUUCAUCAGCUCCUGGGACUCUUUUCCUUCUAUGCCUUGCUUCCCCCAGCCCUGAUAGGAGGCUUUGUGCCUAGUCUUACGGUACCUUGUUACAUAGUGUUCAGCCCAUAUCCCUGGGAGACUGCUGUUUUCUGGAGGGAAAUGAAGGAAGAGUGAAUCUGGGGAAGAGGGAAGGUUGGGGGAGGCUGGGAGGAGUCGAAGGAUAGUAAAUUGGGAACUGCGGUUGGAAAACAAAAAAUAAAUUAAAAAGAG
RNAcentral lists this long non-coding RNA (802 nucleotides) under Rattus norvegicus (Norway rat). RNAcentral describes it as "long non-coding RNA NONRATT032556". The record is from RNAcentral. Lineage: Eukaryota; Metazoa; Chordata; Mammalia; Rodentia; Muridae.